Molecule: ribosomal RNA, 270 nt
Filed under: Chaetoceros neogracilis
Lineage: Eukaryota; Bacillariophyta; Thalassiosirophyceae; Chaetocerotales; Chaetocerotaceae
Description: partial Eukaryotic small subunit ribosomal RNA
Source: RNAcentral
ACAAUAACAUUGUUGAGGUAGAAAGGGUCAUACUGUGAACAUGCAUAAAUAUCAAGACAGGUUUCACGAAUUUCUUCUCUAUAAUCAUUUUCCAAUUCCUUUCCCCUUUCCUCUUUUAUGAUCUUCCUACGUCUAGCAUUAAUUUCAUUAUGAGAAACACGUAUCAUCCGCUGAAGUAGUGUUGGUGAGGAUAUUGGUAGAUACAGUGGAAAAAUUGGAUCUUUUAUAGCUGUAGAAUGUCGAUACAAUGAACAAUUCGAUGGAAAACUU